This 270-nucleotide ribosomal RNA is filed under the name uncultured prokaryote. Its description in RNAcentral is "partial 16S ribosomal RNA". It matches the Rfam family "Archaeal small subunit ribosomal RNA", at positions 474 to 743 of the family's 1478-position model. The record is from RNAcentral.
CACCAGAGCCACAAGUGGCAAUCACUUUUAUUGGGCUUAAAGGGUCCGUAGCCGAUCUGAUAAAUUUCUUGUGAAAUCGUCUGCCUUAAUCAGACGGACUGCAAGAAAGACUGUUAGGUUAGAGACCGGGAAGAGACAGAGGUAUUCUUUGGGGAGCGGUAAAAUGUUUUAAUCCUUAGAGGACCACCAAUGGCGAAGGCAUCUGUCUAGAACGGGUCUGACGGUGAGGGACGAAAGCUGGGAGAACGAUAGGGAUUAGAUACCCGCGUA